UUUUAGCCCUGAUCGAAGUGGAAAUCCUUGUUGCCCGGGGUUCGGGUGGCAAGAUUGAAACGCAGAGCAGGAACAAUG
This 78-nucleotide small RNA is filed under the name Flavobacterium sp. 1. Its description in RNAcentral is "Flavo-1 RNA". It matches the Rfam family "Flavo-1 RNA". Lineage: Bacteria; Pseudomonadati; Bacteroidota; Flavobacteriia; Flavobacteriales; Flavobacteriaceae. The record is from RNAcentral.